AGGGGUGUAGCUCUAACUGGCAGAGCAGCGGAUUCCAAAUCCGCGUGUUGGGAGUUCGAAUCUCUCCACCCCUG
This 74-nucleotide transfer RNA is filed under the name Candidatus Enterovibrio altilux. RNAcentral describes it as "Candidatus Enterovibrio luxaltus tRNA". It matches the Rfam family "tRNA". From Rfam's summary of the family: Transfer RNA (tRNA) molecules are approximately 80 nucleotides in length. Their secondary structure includes four short double-helical elements and three loops (D, anti-codon, and T loops). The record is from Rfam by way of RNAcentral. Lineage: Bacteria; Pseudomonadati; Pseudomonadota; Gammaproteobacteria; Vibrionales; Vibrionaceae.